GACGAACCGUGCAAACGUUGUUCGGAAUCACUGGGCUUAAAGGGCGCGUAGGCGGGUUCGUAAGUCUGUGGUGAAAGCCCCCAGCUUAACUGGGGAAGUGCCAUGGAUACUGCGAGUCUUGAGGAGGGUAGGGGCAUCUGGAACACUGGGUGGAGCGGUGAAAUGCGUAGAUAUCAAGCGGAACACCAGUGGCGAAGGCGAGUCCCUGGAGAACUACUGACACUGAGGCACGAAAGCUAGGGGAGCAAACAGG
RNAcentral lists this ribosomal RNA (253 nucleotides) under uncultured bacterium. Its description in RNAcentral is "partial 16S ribosomal RNA". It matches the Rfam family "Bacterial small subunit ribosomal RNA", at positions 524 to 776 of the family's 1533-position model. The record is from RNAcentral.